AGGCAGGGAUUCCUGUCCCUUCCAUAAACCGUCCCCUCGGGGGC
Molecule: non-coding RNA, 44 nt
Organism: Synechococcus sp. CC9902
Lineage: Bacteria; Bacillati; Cyanobacteriota; Cyanophyceae; Synechococcales; Synechococcaceae
Source: Rfam